GGGAGAACCAUAUUAAACAUUUCCGAGUCGCAAAAACCUAAACCUUGACAAAUUUUUCUCUCAGGAAAUCCAAUGAAUCCUCUUCUCUUAAUCUUUUUGGCCCCAGCAGAAAUUAGCAAUCAUACUGCUAAUAGAAGCACAAAGGGAUGAAGGCAGACAAAAGCACGUCACAGUGUAUACUGGAAUGGCUAAAGCCUUAAUUAGAACCUCUUUCCUCCCUUGUGUACAGCUUCUCCUUCCAACCUACAAUUUUACUCUAAAUUUUUAACUUAAAAGCCUGAAAAGUUUGAAAUUUUGAUCUAAAGAUUACUGCAGGUAAACCAAGAAACUUAUCUUGACCCCGAACAUUUUGCACACAAUGCAAGGAAGAGACACAACCGUGUAUUCAGCCUAUCUGGCCGUGUCAGCCUCCAGAUUC
Molecule: unclassified non-coding RNA, 418 nt
Filed under: Hevea brasiliensis (rubber tree)
Lineage: Eukaryota; Viridiplantae; Streptophyta; Magnoliopsida; Malpighiales; Euphorbiaceae
Source: RNAcentral